CAAUAGCGUAUAUUAAAGUUGUUGCGGUUAAAAAGCUCGUAGUUGGACUUGUACGAAGGUUCGUUGGUCCGCCCUUUGGGUGUGUACUUUACGGUGUCCGUCGUCUCUCUGGAGAACGUUGCCAUGCUCACGCGUGGUGCGGUAUCCGGAGCAUUUACUUUGAGGAAAUUAGAGUGUUCUCGGCAGGCAUUUGCCUUGAAUAUGUUAGCAUGGAAUAAUGCGAAAAGGCCUCGGUUUUUCUUGUUGGUUUCUAACCCCGAGGUGAUGAUUAAUAUGAGCUGUUGGGGGCAUCUGUAUUUAACUGUCAGAGGUGAAAUUCUUGGAUUUCACGAAAGACGAACAACUGCGAAAGCACUGCCAAGAGUGUUUUUCAUUAAUCAAGAACGAAAGUUAGAGGAUCGAAGAUGAUCAGAU
This 414-nucleotide ribosomal RNA is filed under the name uncultured eukaryote. Its description in RNAcentral is "bacterial SSU rRNA". It matches the Rfam family "Eukaryotic small subunit ribosomal RNA", at positions 592 to 1013 of the family's 1831-position model. The record is from RNAcentral.